Molecule: unclassified non-coding RNA, 247 nt
Filed under: uncultured Mortierella
Lineage: Eukaryota; Fungi; Mortierellomycota; Mortierellomycetes; Mortierellales; Mortierellaceae
Description: sequence contains ITS2
Source: RNAcentral
AACAUCUCAAAUCUCUCGGAAUUUUUCUUCCGAAAGAAUUGGAUUUGAGCGAUCCCGACUCUUUGUAAAAGAGAGGAGGGCCGCUUGAAAUGCAGGUACAGCUGGACAUUCUUCUGAGCUAAAAGCAUAUUUAUUUAGUCCCGUGAAACGGAUUAUUACUUUUUGCUUCAGCUAACAUAAAGGUCGAAUGAACAAAAACCAAGGCUGAUUGCAGGAAAACUCGUCUUGUCUCGCGCAAGACUUGUAA